GUCCCGGUAUCCCAAUCGGCAGAGGAACGGAGCUCAAACCUCCGACAGUGUGGGUUCGAAUCCCACCCGGGGCACCA
This 77-nucleotide transfer RNA is filed under the name Dactylosporangium thailandense. Its description in RNAcentral is "tRNA-Leu". It matches the Rfam family "tRNA". Rfam says of the family: Transfer RNA (tRNA) molecules are approximately 80 nucleotides in length. The record is from RNAcentral. Lineage: Bacteria; Bacillati; Actinomycetota; Actinomycetes; Micromonosporales; Micromonosporaceae. RNAcentral also lists the same sequence under 20 other names.